Long non-coding RNA from Drosophila simulans, 1035 nucleotides. RefSeq lists it as uncharacterized. NCBI's taxonomy places the organism in Eukaryota, Metazoa, Arthropoda, Insecta, Diptera, Drosophilidae. The transcript is spliced from 3 exons. The record is from RefSeq and is a predicted model, not a curated record.
UUAGCAUUGGUAAUUAUCUGCUCAAAACAGUUACUCUUACAUAUAUAUGACUAUUUUUAGCGAAGUUAUGAUGAAAAUUCCGAUUGUAAAUAUCCAAUUUUCAAAAGACGAUAUCAAAAGACGAUUUUCCGAAUUUCGGUCAUAAGGUAAUCAGUUUUUUUUGCCAUAACACAUACAAAGAAGGUCACAACACGUAGGUAAAUACGUUACUCGUAGAGUAAAAGGGUAUACUAGAUUCGUUGAAAAUGAUGUAACCUAGUCUCCGACCUUAUAAAGUGUACAACACGUCGAUACGAUUCGACCAAAAUUUCUUAGCCACACCGAGUUAAUUAGCGCGGCGGCUAGAAAUUUAAAUAAGCUGAAUAUUAAUAUUUAAUUUAAUAUGAUGAACUUACCACACCGCCAACGGCAAAGGAAAACAUGGGGGCGUACCCACCUAACAGAAGGAUGUUUCCCAGGAUGCGAAUCUGCCGGGAUCGUUUUGAUCAAAUCUAACUUUAUUCCAUCUAGUUGGCGUGGGGUUUGCCGUACACGUAUACAGCUAGCAAUUCGGUUAUUCGAACCCCAUUCGUCACUUGGUACAGCUAAUUUGAUACAGAAAUCUACAAUAUUCUAUAGAAAAAGGGAAAAUGCCUUCGAUCAAUCCAUUUUUUGAAUAUGUGGCUGAAUACCGUAGAGAACAUCCAGACCUAAGACUACAACGAGUUAUCUUAUCAAGAGCUUCGGGUGAAUGGAAGACUUUAUCCGAAUCGCAGAAAUAUCGCUACCGCAAACAAGCGAGCGAUGAACGAAAUCGGCGUCGGAGAGUUGCUAUGGCAGAGAUGCCAACGAUGCUGUGCCAAGGAUGCCGUUAUGCCAAAUUAGCAUUUUAUGCACUGCUUUUGUUCUGUUGUUUAGUUUUGUUUUGCUUUUGCUUUUGUUUUUAUUGGUUUUCUUUUUAGUGAACAAAAUAAUAAUCAGUUUUUUGUCAGAACAUUCCAAAUAAAGGUUCAAAUAUAGAAUGCCAUACCUGGUUGAGCUCGUAAGAAAAUUUCC